CUUUUCUAUAAAGUUAGUGAAACUUAAGAUAAUUUGACUGAGUCGAUCAAAUUCCUUGCUGGUAACCAUCAGAGAGACUCACGCAGUAAGUAUUCAGAUAUUUUAGCAGAUACACGUCGCCUUUUCUCGGCCCCUCAGUUAGAUGUUACAGAACAUAAGGUUAAGGCCUUGAAUGUGUCCAUACUUCAAAUCGGCAAUAAACUCAUCCAGCGGCAAACGGAUGACUGGCUGUCAUAUUCAGGAUCAAAACAAGCGUACUUAUUAUCGGAGGAGUCUCCAGCAUGAAAAGCUUCGCUGUCUAGUGGAGUCUCUAGGAUGAUGUGACCACACGUCCACAUUCAAUGAACCGGUAAAGAAGAAAGAAAAAAAUGGGAAAUGACACUCCACUAUACGAAGUGCAGGUGGUUGUGCUGUGCGUAUUAAUUUGUAACACUUUUGUCACUCAUCCAGUUAACAUGUCGAGUACCGAGGAACACCAACGUAUCAACAAGUUGUUUUUUUUUUUGGUGGGGUGGGGGGUCAACUUGUGAAAUCAGUCCCAAAACUAUGUGCUAGCCAUGGAAACUAACUGCAGAACAUUUGACAGGACACCCAAACUUACGGUUUAGCAAAUGCUACUCUGACUGAAUCGAGAAAUGCACAGAGCUAAAGUACAAUGGAGACGGCAGAAUUGAAGGCAUGCAGUGCUGAACUGAUGAUGAAGCAAAGAUCAUACUUAC
Molecule: long non-coding RNA, 719 nt
Filed under: Zea mays
Lineage: Eukaryota; Viridiplantae; Streptophyta; Magnoliopsida; Poales; Poaceae
Description: long non-coding RNA NONZMAT002018
Source: RNAcentral